RNAcentral lists this ribosomal RNA (1426 nucleotides) under Lactobacillus delbrueckii subsp. bulgaricus. RNAcentral describes it as "16S ribosomal RNA". It matches the Rfam family "Bacterial small subunit ribosomal RNA". Lineage: Bacteria; Bacillati; Bacillota; Bacilli; Lactobacillales; Lactobacillaceae. The record is from RNAcentral.
UUUGGUCGCCAACGAGUGGCGGACGGGUGAGUAACACGUAGGUAACCUGCCCAGAAGCGGGGGACAACAUUUGGAAACAGAUGCUAAUACCGCAUAACAGCGUUGUUCGCAUGAACAACGCUUAAAAGAUGGCUUCUCGCUAUCACUUCUGGAUGGACCUGCGGUGCAUUAGCUUGUUGGUGGGGUAACGGCCUACCAAGGCGAUGAUGCAUAGCCGAGUUGAGAGACUGAUCGGCCACAAUGGGACUGAGACACGGCCCAUACUCCUACGGGAGGCAGCAGUAGGGAAUCUUCCACAAUGGGCGCAAGCCUGAUGGAGCAACACCGCGUGAGUGAAGAAGGGUUUCGGCUCGUAAAGCUCUGUUGUUAAAGAAGAACACGUAUGAGAGUAACUGUUCAUACGUUGACGGUAUUUAACCAGAAAGUCACGGCUAACUACGUGCCAGCAGCCGCGGUAAUACGUAGGUGGCAAGCGUUAUCCGGAUUUAUUGGGCGUAAAGAGAGUGCAGGCGGUUUUCUAAGUCUGAUGUGAAAGCCUUCGGCUUAACCGGAGAAGUGCAUCGGAAACUGGAUAACUUGAGUGCAGAAGAGGGUAGUGGAACUCCAUGUGUAGCGGUGGAAUGCGUAGAUAUAUGGAAGAACACCAGUGGCGAAGGCGGCUACCUGGUCUGCAACUGACGCUGAGACUCGAAAGCAUGGGUAGCGAACAGGAUUAGAUACCCUGGUAGUCCAUGCCGUAAACGAUGAGUGCUAGGUGUUGGAGGGUUUCCGCCCUUCAGUGCCGGAGCUAACGCAUUAAGCACUCCGCCUGGGGAGUACGACCGCAAGGUUGAAACUCAAAGGAAUUGACGGGGGCCCGCACAAGCGGUGGAGCAUGUGGUUUAAUUCGAAGCUACGCGAAGAACCUUACCAGGUCUUGACAUCUUGCGCCAACCCUAGAGAUAGGGCGUUUCCUUCGGGAACGCAAUGACAGGUGGUGCAUGGUCGUCGUCAGCUCGUGUCGUGAGAUGUUGGGUUAAGUCCCGCAACGAGCGCAACCCUUGUUACUAGUUGCCAGCAUUAAGUUGGGCACUCUAGUGAGACUGCCGGUGACAAACCGGAGGAAGGUGGGGACGACGUCAGAUCAUCAUGCCCCUUAUGACCUGGGCUACACACGUGCUACAAUGGACGGUACAACGAGUCGCGAACUCGCGAGGGCAAGCAAAUCUCUUAAAACCGUUCUCAGUUCGGACUGCAGGCUGCAACUCGCCUGCACGAAGUCGGAAUCGCUAGUAAUCGCGGAUCAGCAUGCCGCGGUGAAUACGUUCCCGGGCCUUGUACACACCGCCCGUCACACCAUGAGAGUUUGUAACACCCAAAGUCGGUGGGGUAACCUUUUAGGAGCCAGCCGCCUAAGGUGGGACAGAUGAUUAGGGUGAAGUCGUAA